RNAcentral lists this long non-coding RNA (674 nucleotides) under Ricinus communis (castor bean). RNAcentral describes it as "long non-coding RNA (RCOM_LNC003368)". Lineage: Eukaryota; Viridiplantae; Streptophyta; Magnoliopsida; Malpighiales; Euphorbiaceae. The record is from RNAcentral.
GUAUUAACAUCAACAGUUCUCCAGGCUCUUAUCAUGGCGCUUUUGAACUACAAUUUCUUCUUAAUAUUUAUUUUUUCACGAAAUUGAAUCGAACAAAAGAAGAGUGCCUAAUGUGUAACAAAUGAAAAGGGCAUUCUCCUGUAUCUUUUUCAAGAAUAACAAAUGAAAAGCUCUAACAAUUGGAAAAACAAACAAAAAGACAAAAAUAUAUAAUUUUAUCUUGCCAAUAGAAAGCCGAAAUUAAAGAAAUUGAUCGCACAUUAAACCCAUUGAAGAAUAAGCACUAGGAACUACGAAACGAGAUGCUAGAUUUAGAAAGCCUAGAGUUACUCUUUUCUUCUCUUCGUUCUAUGACUGCUACAGCAAUGUCAAGUGCUUGAGAAUAAACCCAUUUCCCCAGUAAGAACUAUAUUUUCAUUUCAAUCCACAGAAGAAUCAGAAAUCAAAUAGCAUCACAGAAACAAGGAACGGAAGAAAGACAUUUUGAUUAAUACUGAAAUUGAGGAUUUCAGCCCUAGGAGAAUCGCAGGAUUCUGAUGCAGUGGGUUUCACAGUUGGGUGAAAGGAAAAGGGAAAAGAAGGUUUUGGAUGCUCUUCUGAAAAUGGACGCUUAAUAUUACUCGUUCCAAAGGUAAAAUCUUUUCUAAUAAGGAAUAAUUAGGGAAGUCUUUUUU